Molecule: ribosomal RNA, 516 nt
Filed under: uncultured Diversispora
Lineage: Eukaryota; Fungi; Glomeromycota; Glomeromycetes; Diversisporales; Diversisporaceae
Description: SSU rRNA
Rfam family: Eukaryotic small subunit ribosomal RNA
Source: RNAcentral
AGCAGCCGCGGUAAUUCCAGCUCCAAUAGCGUAUAUUAAAGUUGUUGCAGUUAAAAAGCUCGUAGUUGAACUUCGGGGUUUACCCAUUGGUCAGGCUUAAUUGUCUGUACUGGUGAGAUGAAUCUCUACCUUCUGAGGAACUUUCAUGCCAUUUAUUUGGUGUGAUGGGAAAUCAGGACUGUUACUUUGAAAAAAUUAGAGUGUUUAAAGCAGGCUAACGUCUGAAUACAUUAGCAUGGAAUAAUGAAAUAGGACGGACUGAUUCUAUUUCGUUGGUUUCUAGGAUCACCGUAAUGAUUAAUAGGGAUAGUUGGGGGCAUUAGUAUUCAAUUGUCAGAGGUGAAAUUCUUGGAUUUAUUGAAGACUAACUACUGCGAAAGCAUUUGCCAAGGAUGUUUUCAUUAAUCAAGAACGAAAGUUAGGGGAUCGAAGACGAUCAGAUACCGUCGUAGUCUUAACCAUAAACUAUAGCCGACUAGGGAUCGGACGAAGUUAAUUUUAUAAUGACGCGUUCGG